RNAcentral lists this transfer RNA (93 nucleotides) under Colletotrichum fructicola Nara gc5. RNAcentral describes it as "tRNA-Ile for anticodon AAU". It matches the Rfam family "tRNA". Rfam says of the family: Transfer RNA (tRNA) molecules are approximately 80 nucleotides in length. Their secondary structure includes four short double-helical elements and three loops (D, anti-codon, and T loops). Lineage: Eukaryota; Fungi; Ascomycota; Sordariomycetes; Glomerellales; Glomerellaceae. The record is from RNAcentral.
GGUCGGUUAGCUCAGUGGUUAGAGCGUGGUACUAAUAUGUUUCUGACAUGUUCAGUAAUGCCAAGGUCGGGAGUUCAAGCCUCCCACUGAUCA